UUCUUCCUCGCCGCCGCUGCCAUCGUCAUUAGCUGUCACGCAGCACGCUCGGGCAACGCCGCCACCGCCGCCGGCGACGGCAAGCUGUCGGGCAUCACCGUCACGGCGGCGAGGACAGGGAAGGUGGUGGAGGGGCUGCCGGAGUACGAGGUGACCGUGGCCAACGGGUGCGGCGCCUGCCCGCAGAACGGCGUCAGGGUGAGCUGCCCGGCCGGCGGCGUGCAGAGCGUCGAGCCGGCGGACGAGAGCAAGAUCCGCGCGGACGAAGCCGGGCUCGGCCUCGUCAACGACGCCAUGCCGGUGGCGAAGGGCUCGCCGGUGACCAUCGGUUUUCAAGUUUUCACCUUAACAUGGUCACCUAUCAGCGACAUUUCAUGA
RNAcentral lists this long non-coding RNA (378 nucleotides) under Oryza sativa tropical japonica subgroup. Its description in RNAcentral is "lncRNA OsKeNa_06g0022440". The record is from RNAcentral. Lineage: Eukaryota; Viridiplantae; Streptophyta; Magnoliopsida; Poales; Poaceae.